This 403-nucleotide ribosomal RNA is filed under the name Aspergillus niger. Its description in RNAcentral is "eukaryotic LSU rRNA". The stretch from base 46 to 199 matches the Rfam family "5.8S ribosomal RNA". The record is from RNAcentral. Lineage: Eukaryota; Fungi; Ascomycota; Eurotiomycetes; Eurotiales; Aspergillaceae.
UGUCUGAAAGCGUGCAGUCUGAGUUGAUUGAAUGCAAUCAGUUAAAACUUUCAACAAUGGAUCUCUUGGUUCCGGCAUCGAUGAAGAACGCAGCGAAAUGCGAUAACUAAUGUGAAUUGCAGAAUUCAGUGAAUCAUCGAGUCUUUGAACGCACAUUGCGCCCCCUGGUAUUCCGGGGGGCAUGCCUGUCCGAGCGUCAUUGCUGCCCUCAAGCCCGGCUUGUGUGUUGGGUCGCCGUCCCCCUCUCCGGGGGGACGGGCCCGAAAGGCAGCGGCGGCACCGCGUCCGAUCCUCGAGCGUAUGGGGCUUUGUCACAUGCUCUGUAGGAUUGGCCGGCGCCUGCCGACGUUUUCCAACCAUUCUUUCCAGGUUGACCUCGGAUCAGGUAGGGAUACCCGCUGAA